This 301-nucleotide ribosomal RNA is filed under the name uncultured bacterium. RNAcentral describes it as "partial 16S ribosomal RNA". It matches the Rfam family "Bacterial small subunit ribosomal RNA", at positions 509 to 809 of the family's 1533-position model. The record is from RNAcentral.
CAGCCGCCACGGUAAUACGAGGGGGGCAAGCGUUGUUCGGAAUUAUUGGGCGUAAAGGGUGCGUAGGCGGCUUGACAAGUCUUGUGUGAAAUCUAUGGGCUCAACCCAUAGUCUGCACGGGAAACUGUCGGGCUUGAGAAUGGGAGAGGUGAGUGGAAUUUCCGGUGUAGCGGUGAAAUGCGUAGAUAUCGGAAGGAACACCUGUGGCGAAAGCGGCUCACUGGGCCAUUUCUGACGCUGAUGCACGAAAGCUAGGGGAGCAAACAGGAUUAGAUACCCCCGUAGUCCCUGUCUCUUAUAA